GGGGAUUUAGCUCAGCGGCAUAAGCGCCUGCCUUGCAAGCAGGCAGUCAUGGGUUCGAUCCCCAGUUGUGUUCA
Transfer RNA from Cavia porcellus (domestic guinea pig), 74 nucleotides. It matches the Rfam family "tRNA". From Rfam's summary of the family: Transfer RNA (tRNA) molecules are approximately 80 nucleotides in length. Their secondary structure includes four short double-helical elements and three loops (D, anti-codon, and T loops). The record is from Rfam. Lineage: Eukaryota; Metazoa; Chordata; Mammalia; Rodentia; Caviidae.